UGAAACCCAAAUCAUGUUUUAUGUUUAUGGUUGUAGUAAUGUUCUUCGUCAUGUAUAAGUUGACAAAAUUCCAACAGGCACAAGAAGAGAUUGAAUCAGUAUCUCAGACUUUUGAUUCCAUGAUGAGGAGGACACCAAAGAAGCUGUA
Molecule: long non-coding RNA, 148 nt
Organism: Dioscorea cayenensis subsp. rotundata (Guinea yam)
Lineage: Eukaryota; Viridiplantae; Streptophyta; Magnoliopsida; Dioscoreales; Dioscoreaceae
Exons: 3
Source: RefSeq, a predicted model, not a curated record